This 440-nucleotide ribosomal RNA is filed under the name uncultured bacterium. Its description in RNAcentral is "partial 16S ribosomal RNA". It matches the Rfam family "Bacterial small subunit ribosomal RNA", at positions 338 to 795 of the family's 1533-position model. The record is from RNAcentral.
CCUACGGGUGGCAGCAGUGGGGGAUAUUGCACAAUGGGGGAAACCCUGAUGCAGCGACGCCGCGUGUGGGAAGACGGUCCUCUGGAUUGUAAACCACUGUCCCCAGGGACGAAGAUGACGGUACCUGGGGAGGAAGCUCCGGCUAACUCCGUGCCAGCAGCCGCGGUAAUACGGAGGAUGCGAGCGUUAUCCGGAUUUAUUGGGUUUAAAGGGUGCGUAGGCGGGAUGCCAAGUCAGCGGUAAAAAUGCGGUGCUCAACGCCGUCGAGCCGUUGAAACUGGCGUUCUUGAGUGGGCGAGAGGUAUGCGGAAUGCGUGGUGUAGCGGUGAAAUGCAUAGAUAUCACGCAGAACUCCGAUUGCGAAGGCAGCAUACCGGCGCCCUACUGACGCUGAGGCACGAAAGCGUGGGUAUCGAACAGGAUUAGAUACCCCUGUAGUC